AGGGUGUAAACGCUGCAGACUUGGUGUUGGGAACCCUUCGGGGGUGCUCAGUGCCGGAGAGAAGUUGUUAAGUCUGCUACUUGGGGAGUACGUCCGCAAGGAUGAAACUUAAAGGAAUUGGCGGGGGAGCACCGCAACGGGAGGAGCGUGCGGUUUAAUUGGAUUCAACGCCGAAAAACUCACCAGGGAAGACUGUUACAUGAAGGCCGAGAUGAAGACUCUGCUAGAUUUUCAGAGAGGUGGUGCAUGGCGUCAGUGACU
Molecule: ribosomal RNA, 261 nt
Filed under: uncultured archaeon
Lineage: Archaea
Description: partial 16S ribosomal RNA
Rfam family: Archaeal small subunit ribosomal RNA
Source: RNAcentral